This 510-nucleotide ribosomal RNA is filed under the name uncultured Glomus. RNAcentral describes it as "SSU rRNA". It matches the Rfam family "Eukaryotic small subunit ribosomal RNA", at positions 569 to 1081 of the family's 1831-position model. The record is from RNAcentral. Lineage: Eukaryota; Fungi; Glomeromycota; Glomeromycetes; Glomerales; Glomeraceae.
AGCAGCCGCGGUAAUUCCAGCUCCAAUAGCGUAUAUUAAAGUUGUUGCAGUUAAAAAGCUCGUAGUUGAAUUUCGGGGUUAGUAGGUUGGUCAUGCCUCUGGUAUGUACUGGUCUCACUGAUUCCUCCUUCCUUAUGAACCGUAAUGCCAUUAAUUUGGUGUUGCGGGGAAUUUGGACUGUUACUUUGAAAAAAUUAGAGUGUUUAAAGCAAGCUAACGCUUGAAUACAUUAGCAUGGAAUAAUGAAAUAGGACGUUCGAUCUUAUUUUGUUGGUUUCUAGGAUUGACGUAAUGAUUAAUAGGGAUAGUUGGGGGCAUUAGUAUUCAAUUGUCAGAGGUGAAAUUCUUGGAUUAUUGAAGACUAACUACUGCGAAAGCAUUUGCCAAGGAUGUUUUCAUUAAUCAAGAACGAAAGUUAGGGGAUCGAAGACGAUCAGAUACCGUCGUAGUCUUAACCAUAAACUAUGCCGACUAGGGAUCGGAUGAUGUUAAUUUUUUAAUGACUCAUUC